Molecule: long non-coding RNA, 3913 nt
Organism: Amaranthus tricolor (Joseph's coat)
Lineage: Eukaryota; Viridiplantae; Streptophyta; Magnoliopsida; Caryophyllales; Amaranthaceae
Exons: 3
Source: RefSeq, a predicted model, not a curated record
UGUCUGUGGACAUGUACUUGAGUCGUUCGUCGAAGGGGAGCUCGAAAAAUCUUUUGCAGACCUCGGUCAUCCUAUGGAUAAUAUCUGUGGAAAUGCCAUGAUUAACCACCUGCGGCAAUACGUAUGAGCAGCUUAAAAUGGCAAUGUAUGUCAGAACUGAUUGGCUCCUAGCAUCUGAUAUUUUAGCUCACAAAGUGGUUACAAGUGAUGUUGCUAACUUAGAGUUCUAGGUUGUAUUUGGGCAAAUAUAGUUGUUGAAUAACAAGAACGUGGCAAGACUAAGUCCGGUCCAUUGUCUACGAUCUGAGGUAUUAUCAUUAAUUGAAUCUCAUUGUUUGUUAUCAGGCUGCUAUUACUUGACUCUGAUUUUUACCUUCUUUCAACCUGUGAGCCGACAAAUCUUAAAAGUAUUGGGAAAAUGAGUAAACCUUUGGGGCUCAUAAUCAGUGGUAUAGCCGUAUAGGGGUCCUCGAAAUCGAUUAUAAAAAUUAGAUGAAUACAAAAAAGUGGAGGGGCCAUGACAUUCUUUCUUAUAAAUUUCACAUUUUUUAUAAUUUUUCUAAAAAAAUGCAGUAUGAUAUAUAAUUUAUGGUGUAUUGUUCACUAUACAUAGUUUUUUUUGAUGUUAAUGGUGUCAUUGUUACUUUCUUUGUCCGUUUGAUGAUGCUACAACCCACAAUUGGACAAGUAUAAAAAAAAUGGUUGAGACAUUAAAAUUAUAUGAAUACAUUUAAAAGUAAAGAGAAGUUGUACAAAUAAGAAUUUAAAUAAGUAACAGGAUAUUAUCCAAAAUACAAAUAUUGUAAAGUAAAUGAGACGAACCAAAAUAAAAAAAUAUAUACAAGCUAUUGGGAAAAGUGAGUAAAAUAGAAGACCAUAGAAUUGUUUUUCAACUUUAUAAGUAUAAUUGUUUUUUCAAUUAAUUUUCUUAACAUUUUAAUAGGAAAUGAAUAAAAGAAAAUUAAAUGGUAAAAGGGACAAGAAAGGAACCAAAUUUCUUACUUUGAACAUAGGCCUAAGCUUUGAAUAUUCCAAUGGUUGUUGAUUUGGGUGGUUGGGGAUAUAUGGUUACUUAUUAAAUACAUAAUUAGUAACUUAGUAACAGAAUCAUUUUAAAUACAUAAUUUGAUCUUUUAUCCUGAAAAAUUAACUAUUCAAGAUUUAAAAAGGGCGUCAUUCUAAAUUAUGAUUUUGAGAAAUUAUAAUUAUAAAAAAUUACACAGUCAUUAUAAAAAUGGAAAAAAUUGGAAUAGAAAUGAUAAGCAAGUAGCAUGUAAUUACAAUUUUUAUGCGCACUUGCUAGGAAGAGUAGGAGUCAUCUGGUUCAAAUUAGUUGUUAUAAUUUUUGGUUUCACGCUAUUUAAUGUCUUGUUUUGAGCGUUGCUAUCUGUAUAUGUACAUAUUUUAAAUUAUAAAAAGUUGAUAUUAUAAAAUUAUUUAUUGAGAGGAAUUAAACAGAAUCUCACCGUAUAUGUUUUUUUAAUGGUUUCUUAUGAAGUACAUAAAGAAUAAGAACUUUAACAUUAUUAAUCAACAAAUGAUCGGUAUACUACCAACUACCAAGCAGAAACGAAGAAAGAAAGUAAGAUCAUUGAGGAAAGGAGAUGGUUAAUGCAAUCAUUGAACCAUAACAAUUUGCUAGGAAAUGAAAUGAAAGUGCAAUUAACAAACUGACCUUAACGUGAUUAAUUGUAGCCUUAAAUUGAUAUAUUAUCCCCUUAAUUAAAGAGAUGACUUAUCACCUAAAAGUGAUAACUUUUGUUGCUAAAUUGAUUAUUUAUUGCUUAUAAUUACUCAUUUUAAGGUUAUUUAAGAUGACCUUAACGUGAUUACUUAUAACGUUAAAGUAAUGACUAACCACCUUAAAGUGAUGAUUUAUCACCUUAAAUUGAUGACUUACAUUAUUAAAUUUUAGAAAAUACAUAGCACAAAUCUAUCGGAGACCAAAAUAAAAAUGAAAAUAUUGAUGAAGAACAGGAAGAAUGAUAAGAACCAGAAGAAUACUAGACCUAAAAUGGUUGUGAAGUCAACAAACCUGUAAAAACAAUUACAGUAGGGUCUAAAGUUUUAAUCUUUAUCCUUAGAAAUCACCCACGACCAAUGGUAAGGGUGUUCAAUGCAAUGAAACAACACUUCAAUAAUAAGCAAUGAGAAACAAUACGAAACAAAGCAAAAUCAAAAACAUAAGAUUUACGAGGUUCACCUCAAUGUGGGUUACGUCAUUGGUGGUGGUUAACUUGCUUGAUUAUGUGAAGAAAUAAUGGAGUUCUCAAGAACUCUUACAAAGAAAUAUUACACUUGGAGAAGAUCAAAGAAAAUGGGUUUGUGUUUAGCUAGGGUUUUUAAUCCACAUUGGAGGGAGUGUAUGAGACUCCUAUUUAUAGUCGAAGUUGUAUACAAAUGAUUGGGCAAGAGCCCACAUUAAAACAUUCCAGUAAAACUUAUCGCACAAGAAAACAGAGUGCAUUCUGGACCCUCGCUCGAUCGGUCGAGCGAAAUAGCCUUGGUCGAGCGGCUUAAAUUCCAGUCGAGCAGCAGAUUAGAAUGCUCACUGAUCUGGUCGAGCCAACUGGCUCGGUCGAGCAUGCCACAGUGUGGGUCGAGCGGCUCAUCAAAAAGUUCAUAAUGACUCCCACCUCAUCAUACACACACAUACACACAUCCACACACCAUCAAUUCUCAUUAUACACUAUGCACUCAAAGUCACACCAAAAAAACCCAACAAAACCACUUUUUUUUGAAUAAAAUUCAAACAUCUAUAUCAAACAAAAGGUUGCACCUUGCCUAUGUAGUAUUCUGUGUUUUACUUGGGAUCUUGGUAGAAUUAGAAGUUUUGCUGAAGAGGAAGAAAAGAUUGCAGAGAUACUUUAAAGAAGAAGAAACUGAAUGGUUUCCAAUUUCCAGCAAAAAUUUAAAACUUCUACGGUUUUUGUUUUUUAUCUUUUUUGAAACUAAAUCUAAACAGUUUUUUCUCAAUUGGAUUGGACUGGCCCAUAUUAAGUCGUCUCAUCGUGAGACGGUCUUAUUAAAGAAUUUGUCUAUGCCAAAACUUCUUUUGCACUAUCUUGCUCCAUUCGUUGUUUAAUAAAGCAAAAAAAACAUGAUCAACUUCUAGAAUGCACAUUUUAUAUGCACAAAAUCAAUAAAGACAAACUUGCUUUGAUGAUUUCCAAAGUCUUAAGCUUAAUUUGGCCAAGAAUUAACUUUUGGAUUUAAUCUCUACUUUCCCUACUCCUUACUGCAUUUAGUAGAGUUUGAAAAUACUUAGUCACACUAAGCGAAGUCUAGGUUGAAUAAAUUCACCAAUCACAACAAAUAGAUAAAUAAUAGUUACUUUGCAAAUUGCAAGUGUAGUAACUAACUAAACCAGAGAGUUAAUAUAUUCAAGUUUAUUAUUAUUGUAGUUUUUUAAUACAUUGUGAAAGUAAAGAUGGAAGCCUCAACAUAUUUGAGGCCCUGUGCAAUGGCAUCACCUGGCUUUUGUAUAAGAGUUGUCAAACCUUUUUCUAAGUUAUAAAUUUUCUUUAGUAAUUGAGUUUUAACUUUCAUUUGUGUAUGCGUUGAAGAACGACAUAAGUUGGCCCAAGUUAUGAGCAUCUUGUGUUCAUGAUUUUAAGGUCAUGCAUUCAAUCCUUCUCAUUUUAAGGUCAUGACUUUUUCUUAUUUGUCUCUCCCACACUAAGCACCACUCCUCAAAUUCAGAUUGAAGGACCUCUAACUCAUAUCUAGUAGAGAGCCAUUUACCAAUUACCAUACCAUCAUUUAAAAAGUAAAUGUCAACUAGAUUUGCGUUGAGUAUCUUAAAAUUUUUUAAUUACCUAUUUUAGCCAAUUAGACUCCCACCUAGCCUCCUAGAUAUAGCGCUGGUUGUCAUUUAUGCUUUUUGUCGUGCGUCAAUAUGAAGGAAAAGAGC